RNAcentral lists this unclassified non-coding RNA (336 nucleotides) under soil metagenome. Its description in RNAcentral is "partial contains 5.8S ribosomal RNA, internal transcribed spacer 2, and large subunit ribosomal RNA". The stretch from base 1 to 120 matches the Rfam family "5.8S ribosomal RNA", at positions 35 to 154 of the family's 154-position model. The record is from RNAcentral.
GAUGAAGAACGCAGCGAAAUGCGAUAAGUAAUGUGAAUUGCAGAAUUCAGUGAAUCAUCGAAUCUUUGAACGCAUAUUGCGCCCGCCAGUAUUCUGGCGGGCAUGCCUGUUCGAGCGUCAUUUCAACCAUCAAGCCCCCGGCUUGUGUUGGGGACCUGCGGCUGCCGCAGGCCCUGAAAACCAGUGGCGGGCUCGCUGUCACACCGAGCGUAGUAGAUUUUCAUCUCGCUCAGGGCGUGCUGCGGGUUCCGGCCGUAAAAAGCCUUAUUUACCCAAGGUUGACCUCGGAUCAGGUAGGAAGACCCGCUGAACUUAAGCAUAUCAAUAAGCGGAGGA